This 431-nucleotide ribosomal RNA is filed under the name uncultured bacterium. Its description in RNAcentral is "partial 16S ribosomal RNA". It matches the Rfam family "Bacterial small subunit ribosomal RNA", at positions 29 to 505 of the family's 1533-position model. The record is from RNAcentral.
AACGAACGCUGGCGGCAUGCCUAACACAUGCAAGUCGAACGAGACCUUCGGGUCUAGUGGCGCACGGGUGCGUAACGCGUGGGAACCUGCCCUUAGGUUCGGAAUAACUCCUCGAAAGGGGUGCUAAUACCGGAUAAUGUCUUCGGACCAAAGAUUUAUCGCCUUUGGAUGGGCCCGCGUUGGAUUAGCUAGUUGGUAGGGUAAAAGCCUACCAAGGCGACGAUCCAUAGCUGGUCUGAGAGGAUGAUCAGCCACACUGGGACUGAGACACGGUCCAGACCCCUACGGGGGGCAGCAGUGGGGAAUAUUGGACAAGGGGCGAAGGCCUGAUCCAGCAAUGCCGGGUGGGGGAUGAAGGCCUUAGGGUUGAAAAGCUCUUUUACCCGGGUUGAUAUUGCCCGUCCCGGGAAAAUAAGCCCCGGCUAACCCCG